GACGAACGCUGGCGGCGUGCUUAACACAUGCAAGUCGAACGAUGAACCGGUUUCGGCCGGGGAUUAGUGGCGAACGGGUGAGUAACACGUGGGCAAUCUGCCCUGCACUCUGGGAUAAGCCCGGGAAACUGGGUCUAAUACCGGAUACGACACUCCGAGGCAUCUUGGGGUGUGGAAAGUUCCGGCGGUGCAGGUUGAGCCCGCGGCCUAUCAGCUUGUUGGUGGGGUAAUGGCCUACCAAGGCGACGACGGGUAGCCGGCCUGAGAGGGUGACCGGCCACACUGGGACUGAGACACGGCCCAGACUCCUACGGGAGGCAGCAGUGGGGAAUAUUGCACAAUGGGCGAAAGCCUGAUGCAGCGACGCCGCGUGAGGGAUGACGGCCUUCGGGUUGUAAACCUCUUUCAGCAGGGAAGAAGCGAAAGUGACGGUACCUGCAGAAGAAGCACCGGCUAACUACGUG
This 464-nucleotide ribosomal RNA is filed under the name uncultured bacterium. RNAcentral describes it as "partial 16S ribosomal RNA". It matches the Rfam family "Bacterial small subunit ribosomal RNA", at positions 28 to 507 of the family's 1533-position model. The record is from RNAcentral.